CCCGCUGAACUUAAGCAUAUCAAUAAGCGGAGGAAAAGAAACUAACAAGGAUUCCCCUAGUAACGGCGAGUGAAGCGGGAAAAGCUCAAAUUUAAAAUCUGGCGGUCUUUGGCCGUCCGAGUUGUAGUCUAGAGAGGCGUCUUCCGCGUCGGACCGUGUACAAGUCCCUUGGAACAGGGCGUCAUAGAGGGUGAGAAUCCCGUCCAUGACACGGACUGCCGGUGCUUUGUGAUGCGCCUUCAAAGAGUCGAGUUGUUUGGGAAUGCAGCUCAAAAUGGGUGGUAAAUUCCAUCUAAAGCUAAAUACAGGCGAGAGACCGAUAGCGAACAAGUACCGUGAGGGAAAGAUGAAAAGCACUUUGGAAAGAGAGUUAAACAGUACGUGAAAUUGUUGAAAGGGAAACGCUUGGAGUCAGUCUCGUCCGCCAAGACUCAGCCUUGCUUUUGCAUGGUGCAUUUCUUGGUGGAUGGGCCAGCAUCGAUUUUGGUCGCUGGAUAAAGGCUUGGGGAAGGUGGCACCUUCUGGUGUGUUAUAGCCCCUUGUUGCAUACAGUGGCUGGGAUCGAGGACCGCAGCACGCCUUCAUGGUCGGGGUUUACCCACGCCACGUGCUUAGGAUGCUGGCGUAAUGGCUUUAAACGACCCGUCUUGAAACACGG
This 658-nucleotide ribosomal RNA is filed under the name uncultured fungus. Its description in RNAcentral is "eukaryotic LSU rRNA". It matches the Rfam family "Eukaryotic large subunit ribosomal RNA", at positions 24 to 664 of the family's 3401-position model. The record is from RNAcentral. Lineage: Eukaryota; Fungi.